UAGCUGCACAUCAGUGUCCUGCCCAU
Molecule: non-coding RNA, 26 nt
Filed under: Rattus norvegicus (Norway rat)
Lineage: Eukaryota; Metazoa; Chordata; Mammalia; Rodentia; Muridae
Source: RNAcentral